Molecule: regulatory RNA element, 55 nt
Rfam family: pemK RNA
Source: Rfam
AUAAUGAUACUUCCGCGAGGCUCCCACGUAAGCAGGAGAGGUGAAAUUCCUAUGU